GAUUAACGCCGGCGGCGUGCCUAACACAUGCAAGUCGAGCGGCAGCGAGUUUUACACUGAAUUCUGGAAGCUUCUAGUUGAAAGAGAAGAUUUAUUCAAGAAUUUUGUGUAAAAUGUCGGCGAGCGGCGGACGGCUGAGUAACGCGUGGGAACGUACCCCAAAGUGAGGGAUAACGCAUCGAAAGGUGUGCUAAUACCGCAUAUGGUCUUCGGAUUAAAGCCUUCGGGCGCUUUGGGAACGGCCUGCGUAAGAUUAGAUAGUUGGUGGGGUAAUGGCCUACCAAGUCGGCGAUCUUUAACUGGUUUGAGAGGAUGAUCAGUCAGACUGGAACUGAGACACGGUCCAGACUCCUACGGGAGGCAGCAGUGUGGAAUCUUCCACAAUGGGCGAAAGCCUGAUGGAGCAACGCCGCGUGCAGGAUGAAGGCCUUCGGGUUGUAAACUGCUUUUAUAAGUGAGGAUUAUGACAGUAACUUAUGAAUAAGGAUCGGCUAACUACGUG
RNAcentral lists this ribosomal RNA (502 nucleotides) under uncultured bacterium. RNAcentral's name for it is "partial 16S ribosomal RNA". It matches the Rfam family "Bacterial small subunit ribosomal RNA", at positions 28 to 507 of the family's 1533-position model. The record is from RNAcentral.